RNAcentral lists this small nuclear RNA (279 nucleotides) under Prolemur simus (greater bamboo lemur). RNAcentral's name for it is "7SK RNA (ENSPSMG00000010090.1)". It matches the Rfam family "7SK RNA", at positions 1 to 283 of the family's 331-position model. From Rfam's summary of the family: 7SK was discovered as an abundant small nuclear RNA in the mid-70s but a possible function has only recently been suggested. Two independent studies have found that 7SK RNA binds the CDK9/cyclin T complex (known as elongation factor P-TEFb). The record is from Rfam by way of RNAcentral. Lineage: Eukaryota; Metazoa; Chordata; Mammalia; Primates; Lemuridae.
AGAUGUGAGGGUGAUCUGGCUGCAACAUCUGUCACCCCAUUGAUUGCCAUGGUUGAUUCGGCUGAUCUGGUUGGCUAGGCAGGUGUCCCCUUCCUCCCUCACUGCUCCAUGUGUGUCCUUCCCAAAGCUGCAGGCUCCGUUGAAGAGAAUAACCUUCCCAGAUAGAGGAGGAAUGCACUUUGGGCAAGGGUAUACAGGUACUUGCACUCCCUUGGCUAGAACCUCCAAACAAGCUCUCAAAAUCAAGUUUGAAGAGUGUACAAGGUGUAUUUCAGUUUG